This 743-nucleotide long non-coding RNA is filed under the name Sus scrofa (pig). RNAcentral's name for it is "lncRNA (ENSSSCG00025033401.1)". Lineage: Eukaryota; Metazoa; Chordata; Mammalia; Artiodactyla; Suidae. The record is from RNAcentral.
UUGCUUCCAAUUGCUUCUACGGUGUGCUGGUGACGGGAGGGGAACAACCACCAUCUCUCUAUAUGUUUACCCAUUUACCAGGAAAUAUGUUUAUACUGUUUUCCAAUCAGGAUUUACCACAAGCCGGGAGUUCCACACCUAAUGACCAGGCCAAACCCAGCCCACUGUCAACAGAGAAAAGUCGGCCUCAAACAUGAGAGAUUUUAAAUCACAAUGGACGUUCGAGGAGCAUGACUGCCAGCACUGUGAGCAGCAGGGCUGUCUCCAGCCGUCGACAGGACCAAACAGUAUCUCGGAAGCAUCAGCGAACACGUGUGGACAGAAGGUGCAGCACCCCCGUGAACCGGCCUCGCCCCACCACGGCCUCUCCUUCCAGCAGUCCCUCGGCUCCCCCCAGCCCUGCUCCACGGUGCCCGCCCCCAGCCCAAGGUGCUCACGACUGCCCACAAGAACCCAAACUCAGCCAUCGGAAGGCUGGGCCGCGGGGCUCCAGAGCCUCCAGAGAUGACUCUGCCCCACAGGAUGCCGGCUUCAUCUUCCACAGCCCGCAGGCAGUUCCAGGCACCCCUUCUUGCUGGCAAAAUGGGAGUUCACAGGCCAGAGGAGCCAUCAGUCCUAACACAGCACAAAGAAGGAAACACGACCAUGAGAGAACGGAGAAGGGCCACCCUAGGCAGCCAGCCAAAGGGGCAAGAGGUAAAAAGAGUGGAAGUGGCGCGCCGUCGAGAUUCCCCAAAAGGUGA